UGGCAUGUGACUGGCACGGCAGGUGCGGUUUUGUCCUUGCUUUCAUUCAUUUCACGGCCUUUCCGAAUUCAGAUAAGGAAAGUGCCACUGUCAAGCAGUAGACUAUUGGGUAAAAGCUGCAUGGA
Molecule: long non-coding RNA, 125 nt
Organism: Patiria miniata (bat star)
Lineage: Eukaryota; Metazoa; Echinodermata; Asteroidea; Valvatida; Asterinidae
Exons: 2
Source: RefSeq, a predicted model, not a curated record